RNAcentral lists this ribosomal RNA (460 nucleotides) under uncultured bacterium. RNAcentral describes it as "partial 16S ribosomal RNA". It matches the Rfam family "Bacterial small subunit ribosomal RNA", at positions 338 to 795 of the family's 1533-position model. The record is from RNAcentral.
GCUACGGGAGGCAGCAGUGAGGAAUAUUGGUCAAUGGGCUUACGCCUGAACCAGCCAAGUCGCGUGAGGGAAGACUGCCCUAUGGGUUGUAAACCUCUUUUGUCAGGGAGCAAUUGGCGCUACGUGUAGCGUUAUCGAGAGUACCUGAAGAAAAAGCAUCGGCUAACUCCGUGCCAGCAGCCGCGGUAAUACGGAGGAUGCGAGCGUUAUCCGGAUUUAUGGGGUUUAAAGGGUGCGUAGGCGGAAUGCCAAGUCAGCGGUAAAAUCGCGGGGCUCAACCUGGCGCCGCCGUUGAAACUGGCGUUCUUGAGUGGGCGAGAAGUAUGCGGAAUGCGUGGUGUAGCGGUGAAAUGCGUAGAUAUACGGAGGAACACCAGUGGCGAAGGCGGAUUGCUGGACAGUAACUGACGCUGAGGCACGAAAGCGUGGGGAGCAAACAGGAUUAGAUACCCGGGUAGUC